AUCAUCAAGUCACUCAUCAAGCGAAGCAAAUCCAUCAUCCACCAAAUCAAAGGCACGUAAGUGAGCACCAACAGCUGCAUCGGCCAUGGCUCGCGCGCUCGUUCUCGUCGUGAUCCUCCUCGCCGCCAUCGCGGUGGCGCCGUUCGCAGAAGCCUCGACAGUGAGUGCCGCCUCCAGGGUAUUGUUGGCCUCCGAAGCGCCCGCUGAGAGCCCGGCUGGGCCUGCGCCGGCCCCAGGCCCAACGGAAGAGUCCAGCAGCACAUCUGCCGAGUCUCCAAGUGCUGAUGCCUGAAUGAGUAAGAGUGAAGCUCAAGUGAAUGAUUCCUAAUACCUGGAAUAUUGACCAAACAUAUAUAUGCCAGACAUCCUUUGUUAAGGCUAACAUAGCCUCAUUUUUUUUAUUUUUUUUUGUUUAUCACUACCUCUACCUAUGUUGUUGAUUGAUCAUGUUAAUCAUGCAACAUUAUGAUUUAAUAUAAGUUGGAUGAAGAUCUUCGUU
This 499-nucleotide small RNA is filed under the name Oryza sativa Japonica Group (Japanese rice). RNAcentral's name for it is "sRNA Os04g0668300". The record is from RNAcentral. Lineage: Eukaryota; Viridiplantae; Streptophyta; Magnoliopsida; Poales; Poaceae.